GCCGAAGUGGCGGAACAGGCAGACGCGCACGACUCAAACUCGUGUGGGGAAACCCGUGUGGGUUCGACUCCCACCUUCGGCA
Molecule: transfer RNA, 82 nt
Filed under: Caldilineaceae bacterium
Lineage: Bacteria; Bacillati; Chloroflexota; Caldilineae; Caldilineales; Caldilineaceae
Description: tRNA-Leu
Rfam family: tRNA
About the family: Transfer RNA (tRNA) molecules are approximately 80 nucleotides in length. Their secondary structure includes four short double-helical elements and three loops (D, anti-codon, and T loops). Further hydrogen bonds mediate the characteristic L-shaped molecular structure. tRNAs have two regions of fundamental functional importance: the anti-codon, which is responsible for specific mRNA codon recognition, and the 3' end, to which the tRNAs corresponding amino acid is attached (by aminoacyl-tRNA synthetases). tRNAs cope with the degeneracy of the genetic code in two manners: having more than one tRNA (with a specific anti-codon) for a particular amino acid; and 'wobble' base-pairing, i.e. permitting non-standard base-pairing at the 3rd anti-codon position.
Source: RNAcentral